Molecule: ribosomal RNA, 265 nt
Filed under: uncultured prokaryote
Description: partial 16S ribosomal RNA
Rfam family: Bacterial small subunit ribosomal RNA
Source: RNAcentral
UACGUAGGGUGCGAGCGUUGUCCGGAAUUAUUGGGCGUAAAGAGCUUGUAGGCGGUUUGUCGCGUCUGCUGUGAAAAUCCGGGGCUCAACCCCGGACUUGCAGUGGGUACGGGCAGACUAGAGUGUGGUAGGGGAGACUGGAAUUCCUAGUGUAGCGGUGAAAUGCGUAGAUAUCAGGAGGAACACCGAUGGCGAAGGCAGGUCUCUGGGCCACUACUGACGCUGAGAAGCGAAAGCAUGGGGAGCGAACAGGAUUAGAUACCCU